AUGGCUCUCGCGCCCGACGAUGACGAGGAGGAUUUCCCGGGUGGAAAUGGGGGACAAAUCAGUGCAGAAUUGGGGAGGAAUAGGGUUGGAUCCCUGUAUUGUGGUGAUAUUAGAGCAAUAACGGGUUGUUGGUCCACCAAGGCGGACUCUUCGGAGCGCGACUUAAGGGCCAUCAAGGUACUGCUCCAGAACAUUGAUCUUAAUCUGAAGAACAUUGCAAAGGGGCAACAAGAGCAAGAGGCCCCCAAACCAGAUGCGAGAUGCUGGAAGGAUAUCCUUGACGAUAUAAUCAGAAAAAUCAAUACCCUGAUUUCGCAGCCCGGAGUCUGGAAGGAAUUUCACACUCUCCUCAUCUCCAUCUUCUCAGGCUUGACUCUCCUCGCUGAAAUGUUUGGGGAUCCAGCUCAUAAUUUCCAUUGCCCCUUCUCUGGUUGCAGUGAGGUGGUCUACAUCUUCGAUCUAUCUCCCAAGGAUGAAAAUGACACUGGUGGCAGCUCUAACAUGGACUGCAAGGAUAAGGGUGCAAGCCUUGCGAGGUGGGAGUCGGAGCUGCACAGUCUGCUCCCCAUGAUUGGUGAGCUUGCUGAUGCCUUACCUACUAAAGCCAAGGAGAGUGAAGCUGCUCGUGCAAGCGAAAUGACUCGAUCACUCCGUUAA
Molecule: ribosomal RNA, 657 nt
Filed under: Triticum aestivum (bread wheat)
Lineage: Eukaryota; Viridiplantae; Streptophyta; Magnoliopsida; Poales; Poaceae
Description: partial small subunit ribosomal RNA
Source: RNAcentral